AUCCAGCCGACGAGUCUUAAAUAGGACGAAACGCGCAUCCUGGAU
This 45-nucleotide non-coding RNA is filed under the name Schistosoma mansoni. The record is from RNAcentral. Lineage: Eukaryota; Metazoa; Platyhelminthes; Trematoda; Strigeidida; Schistosomatidae.